Molecule: long non-coding RNA, 1571 nt
Organism: Siniperca chuatsi (mandarin fish)
Lineage: Eukaryota; Metazoa; Chordata; Actinopteri; Centrarchiformes; Sinipercidae
Exons: 2
Source: RefSeq, a predicted model, not a curated record
CCCUCUCUCUCUCAGGAGGGGGAUGGACACUCCUGCGCAUUCUUUCAGCCAGGUCGCGUGUAGGCUGUGCUGCAGUGCUGACACUGCUUUGUGACUUCAAAUAAAAAAAAAGCUCAUAUAGGCUGCUCAUGUAACUUCCAUGAGUUUGAUCCCUGCUACGAUCCUCGGAGUUUCACAUCAUUAAGCUUUACGACAACCUCGGUGGGUAGAUCUGAGAUCUGUUCUGCAAUUAAGAAGAUGAUGAAGAAAAGGUGAGGUCGUCUCCUCAAAUCACCUUCCCUCCUCUCCCUCACUGCCGCCACAGACGGUUGCAGGUCAAAGGUGACUCUGGCGGAAUGUCGCAUGUUUUCUCCAGCUCGGAGACAGUAUGACAGCGUGGAAAAGCGGCAGCUUGUUGGACAGACUUGGGUCUGUAUCUUCUAUAUCCAGAACUGCGUUGCUGUUGUGAAAAAUGCCCCGAACCCAUGAAUGAUAAUGGGGGGAUUACGUAAGGGGCGCAGCGUGAGCAUUUGGCAGUUAGACCAAAAAAAAAAACCCAUCCUGACAGGACAGCAGGAGGAUUUGCUCACAAGGACUUCAUGUUCAUUCAUUCACCUGUGUUUGCAUGCCUAUCAAACUUAUCCUUAGUUAGACUUCCUCUUAUGUAUGAAAGCUUUUUUGGCGCCUUUACGCAUAGUCAGUCUCAUUGUGUAUGUGGUAUGUGCAAAGUAUGUAAUGAAAACCUGAGCAUAGCUUUGAUUCUUGUAUUAACAUGCAGGUCUUAGACAGUAAAAUGCAGUUAUCACGUCCAUGAAAAUGAGAAAGAAUAACUUCGCUCUUGAUAUGCAUGGGGUGACAGAGUGAUUUGCUAGAAAACCUUGGCGUCUGCUCUGGCACCUCACCAGCAAAAUCGUAUUCACAAGAGAAAAAAAAAACCUCAACUGACCUUCUUUGGUGGGCUGCAAGGACAGAGGCUCACUGCUGCAAUAACAGCGACGCCUGUUGGCUUUUUCUAGCGACUGACCUGACUGAUGUUCCUGCAAGGCAUUCACAAACAUCCCGCUCACCUGCACCUGGAUCAUAAUAAGCCUUCUGAACAAACACAUAACUCCUCACAUUUUUAGAACAGUAUUUCAAAGUUUAUUUUCUCUCAGAAUAUUGUGAUGAUAAAAAAAAGAAUCUGUACAAUUACUUAUUAUUGCAUUCAAAUUCUUUCAUACAUCGUUAUCAACUUGAUACAUUGUGGGUCACCGGCCCUCAAACUGCACAGUUUCUGUGGCCAUUUUAAAUAGUCAGCGUGCGUAAAGAUCAAUAAUUACAAUUCAUAUUUACAUAUCUUUGCUUAAUUAUUACUUUUAUAAAAAAAUAAAAUCUCUGUAUGUACAAAACUUGCAUAUGAUACACUUCAUGUCUAACAAAAUUUCUCAAAGUGAUUGAAUAGACAUCAAAUGUGGCUUUUACAAUCAAACAAAAACACACAAAUAUUAGGAUAUAAACUUAUAUGUGCACACUCCACAGCAACAAAUAACUUCAGAAAGUUACAUUAUUCUCAUUGUCAAUUAAUUAUAAAUUAAAACUUCGAAUACACUAUA